AUGUGUGAUGCUAGUGAUUAUACUGUAGGGGUUGUUCUAGGACAAAGAGUUGAUAAGAAAUUAAAUGUUAUCCAAUAUGCUAGUAAGACUCUGGACAAUGCCCAGAGAAAUUAUGGUAUUACUGAAAAAGAAUUUUUAGCAGUUGUAUUUGCUUGUGAUAAAUUCAGACCUUAUAUAGUUGAUUCUAAAGUAACUGUUCACACUAAUCAUGCCACUAUUAAAUAUCUUAUGGAAAAGAAAGAUGUUAAACCUAGACUUAUUAGAUGGGUUCUCUUGCUACAAGAAUUUGAUUUGCAUAUUAUUAAUAGAAAGGAAGCUGAGAACCCCGUUGUAGACAACUUGUCUAGGUUAGAGAAUGUUCUUGAUGACCCACUACCUGUUGAUGAUAUUUUUUCUGAUGAACAAUUAGCUGUCAUAAAUGCUUCUCGUACUGCUCCAUGGUAUGCUGAUUAUGCUAAUUAUAUUGUUGCUAAAUUUAUACCACCUAGUUUCACAUACCAACAAAAGAAAAAGGUCUUCUAUGAUUUAAGAAAUUACUUUUGGGAUGACCCAUACCUUUAUAAAGAAGGAGUAGAUGGUGUCAUUAAACGUUGUGUACCUGAGCAUGAACAGGAACAGAUCCUACGCAAGUGUCACUCCGAGGCUUAUGGAGGACACCAUGCUGGAGAUAGAACUGCACAUAAGGCAAACUCCUUUCUAAAUGGGAAGGUCCUUACGUCAUCGAGGAGGUCUAUCGUUCCGGUGCCAUAA
Molecule: ribosomal RNA, 750 nt
Filed under: Triticum aestivum (bread wheat)
Lineage: Eukaryota; Viridiplantae; Streptophyta; Magnoliopsida; Poales; Poaceae
Description: partial small subunit ribosomal RNA
Source: RNAcentral